GAUGAACGCUAGCGGCAGGCCUAACACAUGCAAGUCGAGGGGUAGAAGGAGCUUGCUCCUUUGAGACCGGCGCACGGGUGCGUAACGCGUAUGCAAUCUACCUUGUACAGGGGAAUAGCCCAGAGAAAUUUGGAUUAAUGCCCCAUAGUAUAUAACCUUCGCAUGUUGGUUAUAUUAAAGUUCCAACGGUACAAGAUGAGCAUGCGUCCCAUUAGUUAGUUGGUAAGGUAACGGCUUACCAAGACGAUGAUGGGUAGGGGUCCUGAGAGGGAGAUCCCCCACACGGGGACUGAGACACGGACCAGACUCCUACGGGAGGCAGCAGUGAGGAAUAUGGGUCAAUGGUCGAAAGACUGAACCAGCCAUGCCGCGUGCAGGAAGACGGUCCUAUGGAUUGUAAACUGCUUUUAUACAGGAAGAAACCCUCCCACGUGUGGGAGCUUGACGGUACUGUAGGAAUAAGGAUCGGCUAACUCCGUG
This 480-nucleotide ribosomal RNA is filed under the name uncultured bacterium. Its description in RNAcentral is "partial 16S ribosomal RNA". It matches the Rfam family "Bacterial small subunit ribosomal RNA", at positions 28 to 507 of the family's 1533-position model. The record is from RNAcentral.